CCACACCCAAUAAACCCCAAACCCACCCAUGACACGACCCAUUCGCACAAAACACAUGAUACAUACAGAUGCUAAGACCUAAUCCCAAAACGACUAUUCACUCUCUUCUUCACUGCAAAGCUGCGUCCAAACUCGUGAAAUUUUGAGCGAGUGAGUGCCAAAUCCCUCCUCACGCAUUCCUCCUUCUCUUCUCAUCACCAUAUCUCACCGUUUCUGACGCGGAUUUUCUCAUUACCUUCACUCGCUCGAUUUGGAGAUAAGGCACUCAAUUGGAAGCUUCUAAGAAGGAUUUGCUGGAUGAAUGUGAGGCGUUGGAUUGAUUUCAUUCAAUCCAAGCCCCACAUUCAUCAGGAAUUCGUUCUCAAAAGGGAUUUUGGAUGGAUUUGGGAGGGGUCAGUUUUUUUGGAGAGGGAUUUUUGGAGAGAGGAUUUUGGGAGAGAUAGUCUUCUUCUUUUCGUUUUGCAUUCAUUCUUAGUGGAAAGGGAAGAAAAGAACACACAAAAAACGUUCAAUAUUCAGUGAUUUUAGGGUAGUUUGGUUUAUUGUUUACAAACUUCAAACAUAUAGAUUCUGUCUUUUCUUUCAGUCUGGAUUUUGUAAAAAAUGGAGUUCGAUUGAGAGAUAGUUGAACUCGUUAUUGCUCGAGGCGUCGAUUCGUAGCUGUUGCUGCUCUGCGUUGAUUUCAGUAUUGAGACUAGUUGGAUUUUCGUCCCAGGUUCAAUUCUGCUUUUCCUCUUAUUUUUUUGUGCAGGGAGCCAUGGAUGGACUGUAAAACAAUUUCAGUUAAAAUAAUAGAUGAGGCUUGUGUGGUUAUCUACGAUUUCAUUUACUGUUCUGCUCUACUUUAUGAUUGUCAAAUGAAUCUGAAUAAGUAGUGUAUAUCCUCAUGGUUUUCCACUUGGUUAUCUGAUUCUAUAGUACGAAUGAUUUCUGGUAAUCGUUCUGUUCUCUUCUCUUGAACAAGCAUAACAGCUUGUGCUUGGAUUUUGCCGUUACUAAGGCAUGAACAAAUGACCCCUAGAAGGUUGGAAUGGCUGCUAUAUUGACAUCACGCUUAGUGUUUCACCUUUGUUCUAUGUUUUUUGGGGAUUGAACUAGUGUCUUUUUUUAGGGGAUUUGAGACCAUUUGUUUGUCUCUCAAUUUGGUAACCAAUCUGUGUUGACAGUGAGACAUGUAGUUUUUUUUGAUAUCGCAUGGCUGGAGUUAUACUGUCGUAUGGUUGCUAAAUGAACGGUGAGUCGAUAAUCUGCAUUUAUGCUUUCCCUGACUAUGCUCAUUUGUGCUUCUCAUGACUAUGCUACUUUAGUUCCAUCAAGCCCGAGUUUGUCAUUGUUUUGUUGUUGUUCUUCCCCUGCUCGAUGAGCCUGUUUUCUGGGCAGAAUUGACAUUUUUUAGCUCAUUGUAAGAUCUUAACGAACAACCUGUGAUUCGUUUUCUUGCCAGCAUGUGUAUCAGUUAACGGGGAGCAAAGAAUUUGUUUGGGAAAUACUAGAGCUAGCAAAUGAGAGCCUCCUGUGUAGUCCAGUCCAAAGAAGAAAAUUGUCUCGAUGACAUUUCUAAAUUCUAAGUUUCUGCUCUUUCUUUCUUUAAAUGCAAAAGGUUUUCCAUAAGUUGAUCAAGCUAAGUGUAUAAAGGUUGUAUGAAUGGUAUUUUGCUCCUAACACUAGGUUUUGGAGCUUCUUGUUCUAGUUACUCUUUGAUUGUUAUGAGCGGAAUUGUCAAAACCUCUUGCAGAGAGCUAAUUUUCUCAUAGAGUAUCUUCAAGUGUUCUUUGUGUC
RNAcentral lists this long non-coding RNA (1779 nucleotides) under Nicotiana benthamiana. Its description in RNAcentral is "long non-coding RNA (NBEN_LNC008904)". The stretch from base 289 to 359 matches the Rfam family "MIR6151 microRNA precursor family". Lineage: Eukaryota; Viridiplantae; Streptophyta; Magnoliopsida; Solanales; Solanaceae. The record is from RNAcentral.